CGGUGAUACACUAACUCAAAGUUAACUUCUAUUAGUUAUUUAAAUUACCUAACCAUAAUUAAGAUCUUAAUAGUGAAAAGUACAUAUUUCAUACAAUAAUACAUCUAAAUCACCAAAAGUUAAACAAGAAACAAGGAUUAGAUACCCUUCUAUCCUAAACUUAAACCAACCAAGAAGUAAAAUCAAACAAAAACUUAACUAGAAUGGCAGUAAGAAACCCAUCAGAGAAGGCUGUACUAUAACCGAUAACCCUCGUUAAUCACCCCCUAACCUAACAUUUUAUAUAUCGCCAUUGAAAUCUUACUUAAGAUAAGAUUAAAUUAAGAUUUACACUUAGUCAACAGGUCAAGAUAUAAAUCAUGGUUAGGUGAGAUAUUGCCUGCAAAUAUCAACAAUUAAUUAAACUAUCAUUAUUCAGCAGUUUAAACUAGGAUCUGACUGUAAUUACGCCUACUUAAUAGCAUCUUGACCCACUAAAUUCCUUAUGCACAUAUUGCCCGUCACCCUCAUAAGAGGCAAGU
This 521-nucleotide ribosomal RNA is filed under the name Trichinella spiralis. RNAcentral's name for it is "partial small subunit ribosomal RNA". Lineage: Eukaryota; Metazoa; Nematoda; Enoplea; Trichinellida; Trichinellidae. The record is from RNAcentral.